GACGAACGCUGGCGGCGUGCUUAACACAUGCAAGUCGAGCGGUAAGGCCCUUUCGGGGGUACACGAGCGGCGAACGGGUGAGUAACACGUGGGUGACCUGCCCUCAGCUCUGGGAUAAGCCUGGGAAACCGGGUCUAAUACUGGAUAUGACUCCAUGACGCAUGUUGUGGGGUGGAAAGCCUUGUGCGGCUGAGGAUGGGCCCGCGGCCUAUCAGCUUGUUGGUGGGGUGANGGGCCUACCAAGGCGACGACGGGUAGCCGGCCUGAGAGGGCGACCGGCCACACUGGGACUGAGACACGGCCCAGACUCCUAUGGGAGGGCAGCAGUGGGGAAUCUUGCGCAAUGGGCGAAAGCCUGACGCAGCGACGCCGCGUGAGGGAUGACGGCCU
This 390-nucleotide ribosomal RNA is filed under the name uncultured bacterium. RNAcentral describes it as "bacterial SSU rRNA". It matches the Rfam family "Bacterial small subunit ribosomal RNA", at positions 28 to 417 of the family's 1533-position model. The record is from RNAcentral.